AAUUUUUCAAGGAUGGAAAUCCAGAUGUUUUCUUGUGAUUCCUUUCGUGAUGAUUUCGGUGUUUUUCGACGGAUUCGUGAGAUGAUGAUUUAUAUUUGAUUGGGGAUUCUUUGAUUUUUUUUUAUUCAAAGCGAUGUCUUGGUAUGAAGAUCAUGACGAUGGGAUUUCUUGAUAUCUUCUUGGAAAGGAUGCGGCGAGGAUCCGGUUUCUUGUCUAAAAGAUCAAUUCUUUGAGGGUGAAGAUCCAGAUUGGUGAUUUGUCAUCAGUGCUUUGGUUUAAUAUCAAGGAUCGGCAAUAAGAAGGUAUGAAAGUUUUGCUGCUGAAUUAUACUGGAAGAUUGCAAGGAAGAGAAGAAGAAAAUAGAUUUAGAUUUGUUGCGAGGAUCUAUUGUGUUCUUGGUGUAGAAACCGGUUUCAUCUCCAUCGAUGAACAAGGCUGUGAUGAAAAAGGUGAUGUAUAUUUUGUAAUAUGACCUUUGCCAUGAUGGGUGCGCUCGCAUGGCAGGUCGCCAUAUCCUUAAUAAAAAUUUCGUUUUUGUGGUUCUUGAGGGAGAGAUCGCACGGGGAUUUGAUUUUUUUUAGUUCCCCCGGGCUCUCUCCCUCAUCUUGUGUGCUUUUGUGUGUGUGUGUGUCUGCGCGCUCACGUCUUCACUGAUUACGGCACUUCACCGAUUAUGCCAUGAUUAUUAUCGAUUACUACCUUGCAUCUCCCGCUCGGCAGGCCAUGCAUGUGAUCUGUGUCUCACCAUCAAUAUCUCUCAUUGUAAUCGCAGGUAAAAGCUUCUACCCUACAUCUACGUCUGUUUCUACAUUGUUCAUGAUGAAUUUCUUUUUUUUUUUUUUACCAACUUAUCCAUACCAAAAUUACUCAUUCACAUCCAAGUCACAUUACUUUAAUUUUGCUCCCUAACGCUUACAAUCAUGCUAUCGUUUGUGCUGUCUAACGCUCAUGAUCAAACUUUUGUUUAUAAAGCAAUAUGUUAGGCCGAAUUUGUUCUAUUUGUAUUUGUGUUCAGAGUAAUGCUCAGUCAAGAAACGAUAUUAUUUCAUUAAUUUGUUGUCUAAAGUUAAUGUCAAUUGUUUGGUAUACAUUGCAAAAUUUGAAGUUGUUAUAGAUUUUCUUGAAGUUCAAAAGGGCUAGCAUGCUAUAAGAUAUUAUGGAUGGUGAAGAGAGCUGGUUCUUGUUUGAGGAAUGCUUGGCAAGAAGGAUAUGGUUUAAUGUCCUGAAUCACAGAGAAGGCCUUCCAAGUUGGUUAAGAUCAGUUCUCAAGUUUUGCGUAUUGUUUCACCUUUCUAGAAGUUGUCUUCACUAUUGGCAUCAAGAGUUUACCCAGCUAGGCCUUUCAAAGCAGCUGAGGAGGGCUUGAGUGACCUGGUUGUUCCUUUGUGGGCAUUGACAAAUUUUUUUUAAUUGUCUUCCAUUUCAUUUUCAAACUAUGGCUAGCUGUGCUAAAGUAAACUUGCUUAAAAUAUUGCUUUAUUUUAGUAGCAGUAUUUUUGUUGCUGGGUGGACUAGUGUGGUGUAUUCUACUACAAAUUUGUUUUUAUGUCCCAUAGCAUGAGAGUAAUAUUGCUCAUCAUCAAUCAAAAAUAGUUUUACUAUGCAUUGGUUCCUAAAUAGUGUAGAUGUAGUUGAGAUGAGUUCUCUAUAUUUUCUUCUACUCUGUAUUUUAUUUGUUUAUUUUUGUUUAUUAAGUUGUGUUAGGUGCUUGUUUUGGCAUUCAUUCUACUUAAUCUUUCAAUGGUAUAAUAUAUGUAGUAUAUUCAAAUAUCACGACUUAACUAUAUCUUCACCACCCAUGAUCUUCUAUUGUCGUAGGAAAAAAAAAAAACACUAGCCCUCAUUUCUGUUUCCUUCAUGGUUGUGCCGCCAACAAGGACUAGUGGAUCUUCUUUUCGAGAGUUUGUUCGCUUCUUUCAAGGAUAUGCCAAAGGUGUAAGGUUUGAGAGUAUUUUUG
Long non-coding RNA from Dioscorea cayenensis subsp. rotundata (Guinea yam), 1957 nucleotides. RefSeq lists it as uncharacterized. The transcript is spliced from 3 exons. Lineage: Eukaryota; Viridiplantae; Streptophyta; Magnoliopsida; Dioscoreales; Dioscoreaceae. The record is from RefSeq and is a predicted model, not a curated record.